GACGAACGCUGGCGGCGUGCUUAACACAUGCAAGUCGAACGGAAAGGCCCUGCUUUUGUGGGGUGCUCGAUUGGCGAACGGGUGAGUAACACGUGAGUAACCUGCCCUUGACUUUGGGAUAACUUCAGGAAACUGGGGCUAAUACCGUAUAGGAGCUCCUGCUGCAGGGUGGGGGUUGGAAAGUUUCGGCGGUUGGGGAUGGAUUCGCGGCUUAUCAGCUUGUUGGUGGGGUAGUGGCUUACCAAGGCUUUGACGGGUAGCCGGCCUGAGAGGGUGACCGGCGACGUUGGGACUGCGAUACGGCCCAGACUCCUACGGGAGGCAACGGUGGCGAAUAUUGCACAAUGGGAGGAAGCCUGAUGCAGCAACGCCGCGUGCGGGAUGACGGCCUCCGGGUUGUAAACCGCUUUCGCCUGUGACGAAGCGUGAGUGACGGUAAUGGGUAAAGAAGCACCGGCUAACUACGUG
RNAcentral lists this ribosomal RNA (468 nucleotides) under uncultured bacterium. RNAcentral's name for it is "partial 16S ribosomal RNA". It matches the Rfam family "Bacterial small subunit ribosomal RNA", at positions 28 to 507 of the family's 1533-position model. The record is from RNAcentral.